GACAGAGGUGCCAAGCGUUAGGCGGAAUCACUGGGCUUAAAGCGUGUGUAGGCGGAAUGGUAAGUACCUUGUGAAAUCCCACAGCUUAACUGUGGAACUGCUUGGUAUACUGCUUUUCUUGAGCCACUUAGGGGCUACCGGAACAAAUGGUGGAGCGGUGAAAUGCGUAGAUAUCAUUUGGAACGCCAAUGGUGAAAACAGGUAGCUGGGAGUGUGCUGACGCUGAGACACGAAAGCCAGGGGAGCGAACGGG
RNAcentral lists this ribosomal RNA (253 nucleotides) under uncultured bacterium. RNAcentral's name for it is "partial 16S ribosomal RNA". It matches the Rfam family "Bacterial small subunit ribosomal RNA", at positions 524 to 776 of the family's 1533-position model. The record is from RNAcentral.